Molecule: ribosomal RNA, 444 nt
Filed under: uncultured Anaerovoracaceae bacterium
Lineage: Bacteria; Bacillati; Bacillota; Clostridia; Peptostreptococcales; Anaerovoracaceae
Description: bacterial SSU rRNA
Rfam family: Bacterial small subunit ribosomal RNA
Source: RNAcentral
UUCCUACGGGAGGCUGCAGUGGGGAAUAUUGCACAAUGGGCGAAAGCCUGAUGCAGCAACGCCGCGUGAAGGAUGAAGGCCUUUGGGUCGUAAACUUCUGUCCUUGGGGAAGAAAAAAAUGACGGUACCCCUGGAGGAAGUCCCGGCUAACUACGUGCCAGCAGCCGCGGUAAUACGUAGGGGGCGAGCGUUAUCCGGAAUUAUUGGGCGUAAAGAGUACGUAGGUGGUUUUUUAAGCGCAGGGUUUAAGGCGAUGGCUCAACUGUCGUUCGCCCUGUGAACUGGAAGACUUGAGUACAGGAGAGGAAAGCGGAAUUCCUAGUGUAGCGGUGAAAUGCAUAGAUAUUAGGAGGAACACCAGUGGCGAAGGCGGCUUUCUGGACUGUAACUGACACUGAGGUACGAAAGCGUGGGGAGCAAACAGGAUUAGAUACCCGUGUAGUC